CACUCGCGAGAAAGUUUCACACAGAGAGAGAGAAAAACCAAGAAAGUUUCAGAGAGAUGGAGGGCUUCACUUGCGGAACAGAAUCUUGGGUUUCUUCCAUCCGAAAAAACCCAGAUGAGCAAACCCAUCAAUCACUACAAACCUCUUCUUCUUCUGAAAUCAUGCUAGGAAUUGGAGAAGAAGAAUGGCCGAAGCUGAACAGCUUGAAGAGCAAGAAGAAGAAAAAGAACCAGGUUUUGCUUGAAGGGUAUGUAGAGGCAGCCGAUGAGGAUGAUUUGUCGAGGACCAAGAGCUUGACGGAUGAGGAUCUUGACGAGCUCAAAGGGUGUUUGGAUCUGGGAUUUGGGUUCAGCUACGAAGAGAUUCCUGAGCUCUGUAACACCUUGCCUGCUCUUGAGCUUUGUUAUUCUAUGAGCCAGAAAUUCAUGGACGAAAACCAGAAGUCGCCGGAGAAUUCUCCGACCACAGUUGAUUCGUGCCCUUCGGUUUCAAGUCCAAUUGCCAAUUGGAAGAUCUCUAGUCCUGGUGACCAUCCUGAGGAUGUGAAAGCAAGGCUCAAAUACUGGGCACAGGCUGUGGCAUGCACCGUUAGGUUAUGCAACUGAGAAAAAUUAGGACUUUUUGGAUUAAUGCUUUAGAUGAAAAUUAAAAAAUGGAUGGGCAAUUUCCUUGAUUUGAAACAUCAUCAAAUAUGAACAGGUUAGACCUUCAUCGGGAGCUUGCGCUUCACUGGUUUAUUCUGUAAUGGCUCCUGUCAGGAAUGAUUGUUCCUGCAAUUCUAGAACCUGUUGAUGAUGGAUUUACUCUGAGGAAGAGAAAGAGGAUGAUGAAGAAGAAUAUUUCAGCGGUGAGAGCCUCCAUUAGAGCUUCACCAAGUACUUCAUGACCUCUUAAUUUGCUGAGGUAACUAACCUAACUGAGUGAACAUUGUGUGUCUUUCUGGUGCUUCUAAUUAUGACCCUCUAAUGAAAGUUAUGGUUCUGUUAUGCAAACAAUGUUAACUGUGCUGACUAACUGUGUUUAUCUGUCCUAUGGAUAGAUUUUGUACCCAUUCGGCUGGAAUUGCAGACGCAAUUGAAAAGACAUAAUGAUUUAAACCCUAAUAGAUCUUGUACCUUAGCUGUUGGUUUUUAUGCAGCGGUAAGAGCCUCCAUUAGAGCUUCACCAAGUACUUCCUGACCUCUUAAUUUGCUGAGGUAACUAACCUAACUGAGUGAACAUUGUGUGAUUUUCUGGUGCUCCUAAUUAUGACCCUCUAAUGAAAGUUAUGGUUCUGGAAUGCGAACAAUGUUAAUUGUGCUGACUAACUGUGUUUAUCUGUCCUAUGGAUAGAUUUUGUACCUAUUCGGCUGGAAUUGCAGACGCAAUUGAAAAGACAUAAUGAUUUAAACCCUAAUAGAUCUUGUACCUUAGCUGUUGGUUUUUAUGCAGCAGUAAGAGCCUCCAUUAGAGCUUCACCAAGUACUUCCUGACCUCUUAAUUUGCUGAGGUAACUAACCUAACUGAGUGAACAUUGUGUGCUUUUCUGGUUCUCCUAAUUAUGACCCUCUAAUGAAAGUUAUGGUUCUGUGAUGCAAACAAUGUUAACUGUGCUGACUAACUGUGUAUCUGUCCUAUGGAUAGAUUUUGUACCCAUUUGUCUGGAAUUGCAGAUGCAAUUGAAAAGAGGGAGUGGAUUGGAUAACUAUUUGUUCUGGUUGUCCCUGAAAUUUCAUUCGUAAAUUCCUAACCACAUUUUCUCCAGUCUGUUUUCAUGAGCAACGGGUUUUCAUGGUUAUGUCAAGGACUGGAUCUUUCAAGUUAUGUUGUCUAUAGUUACUGAUACAUUCUUGCUGCUCUAUUUUUCUGCUAGCAUGGUGACAAUCUCCUUUUGUUAUAAAUUCUGCAACAGAGCUGUCGAAUGAUGACUUUAAUUUUGGAGACGUUUAUAGUCUGCCAUAUUAAUUAUUGAAUUGUAACCAGGAGUGUGGGUGGGAAGCUCUAAGAAGCACCAUCUUAGAAAGACUUUCAGAAUAUUUCUUUGCCCGUCAUUGAGGGCGCUGUCAGAAGGUUAGAUGAAGGAUUAAGUUCCUUUUGGGAUAAGAUGAAGGAUUUGCCUUAGUGUAUGGCUCAUAGGUUGAAGAGAA
Prunus avium (sweet cherry) is the source of this 2126-nucleotide non-coding RNA. NCBI's taxonomy places the organism in Eukaryota, Viridiplantae, Streptophyta, Magnoliopsida, Rosales, Rosaceae. The record is from RefSeq and is a predicted model, not a curated record.